CCUACGGGAGGCAGCAGUGGGGAAUAUUGCACAAUGGGGGAAACCCUGACGUAGCGACGCCGCGUGAGUGAAGAAGUAUUUCGGUAUGUAAAGCUCUAUCAGCAGGGAAGAAAAUGACGGUACCUGAUUAAGAAGCCCCGGCUAACUACGUGCCAGCAGCCGCGGUAAUACGUAGGGGGCAAGCGUUAUCCGGAUUUACUGGGUGUAAAGGGAGCGUAGACGGCAGCACAAGUCUGGAGUGAAAUGCCGGGGCUUAACCCCGGAACUGCUUUUGAAACUGUGCAGCUGGAGUGCAGGAGAGGUAAGUGGAAUUCCUGGUGGAGCGGUGAAAUGCGUAGAUAUUAGGAGGAACACCAGUGGCGAAGGCGACUUACUGGACUGUAACUGACGUUGAGGCUCGAAAGCGUGGGGAGCAAACAGGAUUAGAUACCCGGGUAGUC
RNAcentral lists this ribosomal RNA (440 nucleotides) under uncultured bacterium. RNAcentral's name for it is "partial 16S ribosomal RNA". It matches the Rfam family "Bacterial small subunit ribosomal RNA", at positions 338 to 795 of the family's 1533-position model. The record is from RNAcentral.